This 1455-nucleotide ribosomal RNA is filed under the name uncultured organism. RNAcentral describes it as "SSU rRNA". It matches the Rfam family "Bacterial small subunit ribosomal RNA". The record is from RNAcentral.
GAUGAACGCCAUCUAGAGGCUUAACACAUGCAAGUCGAGGGGCAUCAGGAAGCAUGCUUGCUUUCUUUGCUGGCGACCGGCGCACGGGUGAGUAACACGUAUCCAACCUGCCCUUUACUCGGGGAUAGCCUUUCGAAAGAAAGAUUAAUACCCGAUGGCAUAAUGAUUCCGCAUGGUUUCAUUAUUAAAGGAUUCCGGUAAAGGAUGGGGAUGCGUUCCAUUAGGUUGUUGGUGAGGUAACGGCUCACCAAGCCUUCGAUGGAUAGGGGUUCUGAGAGGAAGGUCCCCCACAUUGGAACUGAGACACGGUCCAAACUCCUACGGGAGGCAGCAGUGAGGAAUAUUGGCCAAUGGGCGCUAGCCUGAACCAGCCAAGUAGCGUGAAGGAUGAAGGCUCUAUGGGUCGUAAACUUCUUUUAUAUAAGAAUAAAGUGCAGUAUGUAUACUGUUUUGUAUGUAUUAUAUGAAUAAGGAUCGGCUAACUCCGUGCCAGCAGCCGCGGUAAUACGGAGGAUCCGAGCGUUAUCCGGAUUUAUUGGGUUUAAAGGGAGCGUAGGUGGACUGGUAAGUCAGUUGUGAAAGUUUGCGGCUCAACCGUAAAAUUGCAGUUGAUACUGUCAGUCUUGAGUACAGUAGAGGUGGGCGGAAUUCGUGGUGUAGCGGUGAAAUGCUUAGAUAUCACGAAGAACUCCGAUUGCGAAGGCAGCUCACUGGACUGCAACUGACACUGAUGCUCGAAAGUGUGGGUAUCAAACAGGAUUAGAUACCCUGGUAGUCCACACAGUAAACGAUGAAUACUCGCUGUUUGCGAUAUACAGUAAGCGGCCAAGCGAAAGCAUUAAGUAUUCCACCUGGGGAGUACGCCGGCAACGGUGAAACUCAAAGGAAUUGACGGGGGCCCGCACAAGCGGAGGAACAUGUGGUUUAAUUCGAUGAUACGCGAGGAACCUUACCCGGGCUUAAAUUGCAGUGGAAUGAUGUGGAAACAUGUCAGUGAGCAAUCACCGCUGUGAAGGUGCUGCAUGGUUGUCGUCAGCUCGUGCCGUGAGGUGUCGGCUUAAGUGCCAUAACGAGCGCAACCCUUAUCUUUAGUUACUAACAGGUUAUGCUGAGGACUCUAGAGAGACUGCCGUCGUAAGAUGUGAGGAAGGUGGGGAUGACGUCAAAUCAGCACGGCCCUUACGUCCGGGGCUACACACGUGUUACAAUGGGGGGUACAGAAGGCAGCUAGCGGGUGACCGUAUGCUAAUCCCAAAAGCCUCUCUCAGUUCGGAUCGAAGUCUGCAACCCGACUUCGUGAAGCUGGAUUCGCUAGUAAUCGCGCAUCAGCCACGGCGCGGUGAAUACGUUCCCGGGCCUUGUACACACCGCCCGUCAAGCCAUGGGAGCCGGGGGUACCUGAAGUACGUAACCGCAAGGAUCGUCCUAGGGUAAAACUGGUGACUGGGGCUAAAU